AUCGCUUCUCGGCCUUUUGGCUAAGAUCAAGUGGAGUAUAUUUUAAAAAAGAAGAAAAUGAAUUUCAAAUUCAAACUGUAGCCUCUCAGAAAAUUUUGCCCUUAUUGUAAUUCUAGUAACAAGAAUUUCCCUUCAUCUCAGGCCUACAAAUCUUAG
This 156-nucleotide small nuclear RNA is filed under the name Fukomys damarensis (Damara mole-rat). Its description in RNAcentral is "U2 spliceosomal RNA". It matches the Rfam family "U2 spliceosomal RNA". Rfam says of the family: U2 is a small nuclear RNA (snRNA) component of the spliceosome (involved in pre-mRNA splicing). Complementary binding between U2 snRNA (in an area lying towards the 5' end but 3' to hairpin I) and the branchpoint sequence (BPS) of the intron results the bulging out of an unpaired adenosine, on the BPS, which initiates a nucleophilic attack at the intronic 5' splice site, thus starting the first of two transesterification reactions that mediate splicing. The record is from Rfam by way of RNAcentral. Lineage: Eukaryota; Metazoa; Chordata; Mammalia; Rodentia; Bathyergidae.